Molecule: ribosomal RNA, 253 nt
Filed under: uncultured bacterium
Lineage: Bacteria
Description: partial 16S ribosomal RNA
Rfam family: Bacterial small subunit ribosomal RNA
Source: RNAcentral
UACGAGCGGCCCAACCGUUAUUCGGAUUUACUGGGCUUAAAGAGUUCGUAGGCGGCGCAGAAAGUGGGGUGUGAAAGCCCUCGGCUCAACCGAGGAAUUGCGCUCCAAACUACUGUGCUAGAGGAAGCUAGAGGUGAGCAGAACAGAUGGUGGAGCGGUGAAAUGCGUUGAUAUCAUCUGGAAUACCGGAGGCGAAGGCGGCUCACUGGGGCUUUUCUGACGCUGAGGAACGAAAGCCAGGGUAGCGAACGGG